UACGAAGGGUGCAAGCGUUACUCGGAAUUACUGGGCGUAAAGCGUGCGUAGGUGGUUUGUUAAGUCUGUUGUGAAAGCCCCGGGCUCAACCUGGGAAUGGCAAUGGAUACUGGCAGGCUAGAGUGCGGUAGAGGGUAGUGGAAUUCCCGGUGGUAGCGGUGAAAUGCGUAGGAGAUCGGGAGGAACACCAGUGGCGAAGG
This 200-nucleotide ribosomal RNA is filed under the name uncultured bacterium. RNAcentral describes it as "partial 16S ribosomal RNA". It matches the Rfam family "Bacterial small subunit ribosomal RNA", at positions 524 to 721 of the family's 1533-position model. The record is from RNAcentral.